UACAGAGGUCCCGAGCGUUGUUCGGAUUCACUGGGCGUAAAGGGUGCGUAGGUGGCCGGUUAAGUCUGACGUGAAAUCUCCGAGCCUAACUCGGAAACUGCGUCGGAAACUAUCCGGCUCGAGGGUUGGAGGGGGGACUGGAAUACUUGGUGUAGCAGUGAAAUGCGUAGAUAUCAAGUGGAACACCAGUGGCGAAGGCGACACGCUGGGCCGUACCUGACACUGAUGCGCGACAGCAUGGGGAGCAAACAGG
Molecule: ribosomal RNA, 253 nt
Filed under: uncultured bacterium
Lineage: Bacteria
Description: partial 16S ribosomal RNA
Rfam family: Bacterial small subunit ribosomal RNA
Source: RNAcentral